Molecule: long non-coding RNA, 2758 nt
Filed under: Anas platyrhynchos platyrhynchos (common mallard)
Lineage: Eukaryota; Metazoa; Chordata; Aves; Anseriformes; Anatidae
Description: lncRNA (ENSAPLG00000021810.1)
Source: RNAcentral
CCCGUUCAGUUUUGUCAGAUUACAUAAUAAGGAAGUUUAAGUGCUACCAUACGUGAUGAGGAACCAAGACAGAAAUAUCUAACAGGAAACACAGCUAUUGUGAUUCCUUAGAAAAGAUACCAGCAAGUAGAAGGUACUUCACAUUGUCAUUGCUUUCUGUGGUUGAGAAGUAAUACUUAGAGUUACAUAUUGAUUGUGUAGCUCUGAGUUAAAGGCCAAGACCAUUAAAGUAGUAUGAGUGAAGAACAGUUAAUAGCAGAAGUAGGUAUAUCCACCGUAUGCAUGAAGAGAAUGGACAUGUCAACAUCUGAGCUGGCAAGCUGCAUCACAUGGAAGUUACAAAAAAAAAUAAUAAUAAUCAAGGAAAUCAACCAGAAAUCAAUAUUUCUAACUAGAAGUGAUAUCCAUGCUAUGAGGCUGAUGAAUCCAGGACGAUUGAUAAUCAGUGUUUCUGACCAUGAUCUGAAGAGUUGCUCUGAGCAAGAAAGAGAAAGGAGAUUAUGCUUUCAGCAUCACUGCAAAGACCAGAUGAAGUGCUGUGUCUCAAGGAGAAGUGAGCAGUGCAAGCUAUACCUUGAACAGCCUGCUGCUGUUAUUGUUGCUGCUGCUGUCAGACUACCUGUCUUGGUAAGUAGAAAGGCCUUCAUGGCAAAAAAACAACUGGUAUUCAUUAAGCAGUCAUGAUCAUGAACCUGUACUGUUGCUGAGAUACUAAGUGACAUUCAGAAAACACAAAACAUUACUGAAGAACAUCUUAGUAUGACUGUCAUGCUGUUAUUGCAUUAGAGGAUUCAUGCUUCAAACUUGUCCAAAAGCCUGCACAGAGAGGCUGAAUUCAUAAAUCUGUUGCUCUCAUUUAUUCUAGUGUUCGUCCCUACAUCAUAUAUCACUCCAUCUCUAAGUUUACAUCCUUUUCUGCUUCAGUCUCUUCAUGUUUCUAUGCCUUGCACAUUUUGCAAGUUAUUUCCUUGUUGUGAAUAUAAAUGUCUUCACCUAAAUACGGAAAAAUUGAAAAAAUGUCUUCAUUUUAGGCAAAGCAAAGAGUGUUAGGAUUCAACAAUUUAUAAGCUGGAGAAUAUUAAAAUAUAGCUCUAUGGAUCUCUAAUAUGUUCUUACUGGAAUCUGGAAAUCUAGUGGUGAGCUCUGACAACGUUACUGCAUAUACACAUAUGUACCCUAAAAGUGAAGUUAAGGUUAACUAACUUAACUUCUUUCUAACCAUUAGAAAAAAAAUCAGACAAGCAACAAAAAUGAGUAAAAUAUUUGUUUUAAAGUGGAAAUUUUGAAAGAUAUACAAAACAAUGGUAUGAAAUGGGACAUCCAGAAUACUAUUUUCAUUAUACAUAUCACAUGUGCAAGCAAAUGUAAUAGAUAGCACAUAUUAAGUUCAUAUCAUUCACAGAACUGUAUUUGUAUGCACAGAUGCUAAAAUUCCUUGAAAGUGAAUCAGCAACAAACCCAGUAAACAGUUUUCUUGUUAUUCAGUCCUUUACACUGUCCACUGGACCAUGAUGACUUCUUGAUGUUUAUUCAAGUAGCUAAGGACCUUUCUAUGAUGACAAUGCUGUUUGCCUUAAGCCCAUUCCAGUAAAUAUGUAACAUCUCUUCUAGCUGCAGACAAGCCUACAAAAUAAUUUUAAAUGAUUAAUAGCAUUAGUAGAAGUGACAUUGCUUUGCCAAAGGGAUGACAAUUCUUCUCUGUUGUCUGAAAAAAAAAAAAAAAAAAAAAAAGAUUUUCUCUUUUUAACAGUAUCAUAAGUGCUAAUUGUUUUCCUGCCAUCACACAUGCACAAACACACAUUUCUGCAGUUUAUGGGCUCAAUUGGGUAGGAGAAAACAUUCCUAUCAGACAAUGGCGUUUUGAAGAUGGGAUAGCCUACUUAAUUCUUAACAUGCAGCAGAGUUUGACACCACCUUUGGAAGCACUGUAAGACAAUUUAAAAUGGAGGUAAUCUUUCAACAGCUUGAAAGGUUUCUUUUUUCCUUGAAACAGACUAUUUACAAAGAGGUAAUGACAAAAAGAAUUAAUUUGAAAUCCUUCUAAAAUAUCAUCAGUUUAGCUAUCCAAAAUAUGCAAUUUCAGAAAAUGUGAAAGGUAGUUAUCCUGCUGCAAAAGCAAUUUAAAUAGCAUACUAGAAGCCAUUCAAGUGCAUAUAUUUCUCUAAUUUGUCAGUGCAUUAUAUACAUACAAGUCUGUUUGUUUGUUUUCCUGAAGAAAACUAUGUUGUUUAGGUUGAUAGCAAAAAAUUGUCCAUUAAGUAUUUCAUAUCUUUGAGAACUUAGUUUUGGUUUUAGAUGUUUUUAACAUUUUAAUGAGAAGUAGUGUGUUUUGUUUUGUUUAAGAGAUAUAAGGAAACUCUUACAGUUUCAAAUGAUACUCUCUUUCCUUCCCUCUUACCCUUGUCGUCUAUUUAUUCAAAAAUGCAGAUGGAAUCAGCUGUUUAGCUGUUACGGUCAAGAUCUUUAAAAAAGAUUAGACUACUUUCUCAUUAGUUAGAAAUUGUUAUUUAUUAAUGCAGUCUUAAGCAAUCUCAGACAGCAGCAAGGAUAGACUCUCAACUAAAUAUUUAUCUUAUAUCUAAUUAAAACAGCAAAGUACAAAAAUAAUUUCUGUAAGUGCAUUAUCCUUCUUGAAUCAAAUACGGGGUGGCUACCUAGGGGACUAAAUAAUAUGUCAAAGGCUGGGGUCUCUCCCUAAUUUUUAUUUCAUGGAAAGGUAAAAAAUAAAAAUAAAUAAAAUCUGUAAAAAGACCUUGAA